UGCCUAUACAUGCAGUCGAACGAACUUCCGUUAAUUGAUUAUGACGUACUUGUACUGAUUGAGAUUUUAACACGAAGUGAGUGGCGAACGGGUGAGUAACACGUGGGUAACCUGCCCAGAAGUAGGGGAUAACACCUGGAAACAGAUGCUAAUACCGUAUAACAGAGAAAACCGCAUGGUUUUCUUUUGAAAGAUGGCUCUGCUAUCACUUCUGGAUGGACCCGCGGCGUAUUAGCUAGUUGGUGAGGUAAAGGCUCACCAAGGCAGUGAUACGUAGCCGACCUGAGAGGGUAAUCGGCCACAUUGGGACUGAGACACGGCCCAGACUCCUACGGGAGGCAGCAGUAGGGAAUCUUCCACAAUGGACGCAAGUCUGAUGGAGCAACGCCGCGUGAGUGAAGAAGGGUUUCGGCUCGUAAAGCUCUGUUGUUAAAGAAGAACGUGGGUAAGAGUAACUGUUUACCCAGUGACGGUAUUUAACCAGAAAGCCACGGCUAACUACGUGCCAGCAGCCGCGGUAAUACGUAGGUGGCAAGCGUUAUCCGGAUUUAUUGGGCGUAAAGCGAGCGCAGGCGGUCUUUUAAGUCUAAUGUGAAAGCCUUCGGCUCAACCGAAGAAGUGCAUUGGAAACUGGGAGACUUGAGUGCAGAAGAGGACAGUGGAACUCCAUGUGUAGCGGUGAAAUGCGUAGAUAUAUGGAAGAACACCAGUGGCGAAGGCGGCUGUCUGGUCUGCAACUGACGCUGAGGCUCGAAAGCAUGGGUAGCGAACAGGAUUAGAUACCCUGGUAGUCCAUGCCGUAAACGAUGAUUACUAAGUGUUGGAAGGGUUUCCGCCCUUCAGUGCUGCAGCUAACGCAUUAAGUAAUCCGCCUGGGGGAGUACGACCGCAAGGUUGAAACUCAAAAGAAUUGACGGGGGCCCGCACAAGCGGUGGAGCAUGGUGGUUUAAUUCGAAGCUACGCGAAGAACCUUACCAGGUCUUGACAUCUUCUGACAGUCUAAGAAGAUUAGAGGUUCCCUUCGGGGACAGAAUGACAGGUGGGUGCAUGGUUGUCGUCAGCUCGUGUCGUGAAGAAGGUUGGGGUUAAGUCCCGCAACGAGCGCAACCCUUAUUACUAGUUGCCAGCAUUAAGUUGGGCACCCUAAUUGGAACUGCCGGUGACAAACCCGGGGGAAAGGGGGGGGGCGAACCUCAAAAUCAUCAAUGGCCCCUUAUGGAC
This 1222-nucleotide ribosomal RNA is filed under the name Pediococcus pentosaceus. RNAcentral's name for it is "bacterial SSU rRNA". It matches the Rfam family "Bacterial small subunit ribosomal RNA", at positions 45 to 1209 of the family's 1533-position model. The record is from RNAcentral. Lineage: Bacteria; Bacillati; Bacillota; Bacilli; Lactobacillales; Lactobacillaceae.